ACCGGCGCACGGGUGAGUAACGCGUAUCCAACCUUACCAUGACUGGGGAAUAACCUUGCGAAAGUAAGACUAAUACCCCAUGGUCAUGGAUGGGGAUGCGUCUGAUUAGCUUGUUGGCGGGGUAACGGCCCACCAAGGCGACGAUCAGUAGGGGUUCUGAGAGGAAGGUCCCCCACAUUGGAACUGAGACACGGUCCAAACUCCUACGGGAGGCAGCAGUGAGGAAUAUUGGUCAAUGGACGAGAGUCUGAACCAGCCAAGUAGCGUGCAGGAUGACGGCCUAUGGGUUGUAAACUGCUUUUAUACGGGAAUAUGUACCGUAUGAAUAAGGACCGGCUAAUUCCGUGCCAGCAGCCGCGGUAAUACGGAAGGUCCGGGCGUUAUCCGGAUUUAUUGGGUUUAAAGGGAGCGUAGGCCGCCGAUUAAGCGUGUUGUGAAAUGCCGCAGCUCAACUGUGGCACUGCAGCGCGAACUGGUUGGCUUGAGUGCGCGGAAGGCAGGCGGAAUUUGUGGUGUAGCGGUGAAAUGCUUAGAUAUCACGAAGAACCCCGAUUGCGAAGGCAGCUUGCCGCAGCGUAACUGACGCUGAAGCUCGAAAGUGCGGGUAUCGAACAGGAUUAGAUACCCUGGUAGUCCGCACGGUAAACGAUGGAUGCCCGCUUUCCG
This 666-nucleotide ribosomal RNA is filed under the name uncultured bacterium. RNAcentral describes it as "bacterial SSU rRNA". It matches the Rfam family "Bacterial small subunit ribosomal RNA", at positions 94 to 826 of the family's 1533-position model. The record is from RNAcentral.